AUACCAGUGUAAUCUUGUAAUAUGAUUUUCAUAUUACAUUUUCAUAUUAUGAAAAUCAUAUUACAAGAUUACACUGGUAU
Molecule: non-coding RNA, 80 nt
Organism: Paramuricea clavata
Lineage: Eukaryota; Metazoa; Cnidaria; Anthozoa; Malacalcyonacea; Plexauridae
Source: the annotation of a GenBank genome assembly